RNAcentral lists this long non-coding RNA (275 nucleotides) under Elaeis guineensis (African oil palm). RNAcentral's name for it is "long non-coding RNA (EGUI_LNC026224)". The record is from RNAcentral. Lineage: Eukaryota; Viridiplantae; Streptophyta; Magnoliopsida; Arecales; Arecaceae.
CCCCCUAAAAAGAAGCAGAAUAAUCCCAAAGGGAUAUAAUUCCCAUACCAAUGGAAAAGUAAUCGGAAUCCCCAAAGAAUAAGAUGGCUCUUUCAUGGUUAAAAAUGGUUUGCUUUCUAAUGCGACUUCAUUUCUUUGUUUUUUAAUUUAUUUUUUUGACUGUACGGAUCCCAUAUGGUCUAUUGCAAUAACCCGACCCAAGAGUCAUGGCCCUGAUUUUUGCAUGAAUUUUGGCAUGAUCCCCCCAAAAAAGAAACUUUACGCAGGAAGCAUGU